This 71-nucleotide transfer RNA is filed under the name Loxodonta africana (African savanna elephant). It matches the Rfam family "tRNA". Rfam says of the family: Transfer RNA (tRNA) molecules are approximately 80 nucleotides in length. Lineage: Eukaryota; Metazoa; Chordata; Mammalia; Proboscidea; Elephantidae. The record is from Rfam by way of RNAcentral.
GCAGUGGUGGUUCAGUGGUAGAAUUCUUGCCUCCCAUGAAGGAGAUCUGGGUUCGAUUCUCAGCCAAUGUC